CUCUCACACACACACACACAACACAUGCUAGUUAGUGCAUCCAUGUGCAACCAGAUUCACGUGCAAGUUUAACGUCAAGUCCAAGUCAAUCAGAUUCUAGUUUAUUUCAGUUGUUUAUUUUCACCUCGCCUCUCAAAGAGAUACAAAAAUAAAUCAGUUGAGUUGUACAAAUUCUAGGUCACAUUAAUGGUGGCAAAAGCUUAAAAAGGAUUUAUCCUGGUCAAAAGUCUUUUACAAAACAAAAACAUGGCAUUUGAACAGGGGUGUGUAUACUUUUUAUAUCCGCUGCAGCCUGUUUUUGUAAUCUUCCUGGUGAGCCUACAGUAUUGUGCUGUUUAACAAGUAGAAACAAUAUAGUAUAAGACCAUUUCUUGAAUUUGCCUUAAUUUGUUACUUUACAAAGAUUUUAUCUUGUAAAAUUGUAUUUAUUAUUUUUUUUAGAUUAAGUGAUAUUGUUCAGUAAUAUCUGAAUUUGCACAUUCAUAUUUUAUUUUGUUGUUUUCAUUUUAGUUGAUGCCGAUGCCCUGAUUUAAAAAAACAAAUCAGGUUACUCACUAUUUACUCAGCACUUGAGUAGUUUUUUCCACUGAGUAUUUUCUUACUCUUACUCAAGUAAUUAUUUGGAGGACUGCUUUUUACUUUUACUUGAGUCAUAUUAUUGUAAAGUAACAGUACUCUUAGUUGAGUACAAUUUUUGGCUACUCUACCCACCUCUGCAUGUUUAUAUCCAUCCAUCCAGCCAUCCAUUAUCUGUACCGCUUAUCCUCACUAGGGUCGUAGGCGUGCUGUUAGCACAUCUGCCUCACAGUUCUGGGGACCGGGAUUCAAAUCUUGGCCCUGCCUAUGUGGAGUUUGCAUGUUCUCCCCGUGCCUGGGUUUUCUCCGGUUUCCUCCCACAUCCCAAAAACAUGCGUGGUAGGUUGAUUGAAGACUCUUAAUUGCCCGUAGGUGUGAAUGUGAGUGAGAAUGGUUGUUUGUGUGCCCUGCGAUUGGCUGGCAACCAGUUUGGGGUGCACUCCGCCUCCCGCCCGAAGAUAGCUGGGAUAGGCUCCAGCAGCCCGCGACCCUAGUGAGGAUAAGCGGUAAAGAAAAUGGACGGCUGGAUUAACGUUACAUGCAUGUUUUUGGAAUGUGGGAAGAAGCUGUUGUACCCAGGUAAAAAAACUAAAACAUGCAAGCACGGGGAGAACAUGCAAACUCCACACAAGAAGGCCACAGACCGGAGCCAAGAUUCGAACCCCAAACAUCAGAACUGUGAUGCAGACCAGUUUGAACCUUUUGAACCAGUGUUCCAAGAUUGUAUACUACAAGACGUGCAUACACAUGCAGUACUUGGUGUGUGUGUGGUUGUACGGUCCCGGCUGGCUUUUAUUGUGAAAGCAACGAGGGAAACACCACUAAGUGAUUACUUGCCUGGGAUGGUGCAAUAGCUCCCCGAAUAAAACAACAACAAACAGAUAAAGCUGCCAGCGUUCAAGGAGUACGAAACAGCCUAUGACGACAGCGACGGCGACCCCACUCAUCGGAGCUAUACGAUUCACGUAAUGGACUAUUUAGUUCAAAACGGCGAAUUUCGCAGAAAGAUGACUGAUUUGCAUGUAUGUAAUAAGCACGCUCAUACAUGAGCUGCUACUGCCACAACUGACAUGCAGGCACUAUGGAUAUGCAACAACUAACCAAUGCUACUGAUGAGCGGUGCGGUGGGAUGCGCCAUCUUUGCCUCCGAUGUUGUCGACGUGAUAGGGAGGUGGGGAAAGUCUCCAGAAAAGCCUCUGCCACACCACCUCAGGCAGGCAGAGAGCCCUCGUCUGGUGCUUAAGAUGUUCUACAACGCUUUAAGGUGAUCCUCUGGGAUCAUCUUCACAACAAUAGAGUGGAGUGGCUGAGAGAGACCGAGCCACUCAUCUGCUUUUAUAUCCCUGCAGCAUCUGAAGGCCUCGUUCAGUGAUCCGUGUCCGUUUUGAAGGAGGUUCCUCUGGCCGGAUGUGGCGAGAAAACACAGCGUUGCAGGCUUCAGCACAGGCCAGUCUCUGGAUCUGCAGCUCUGCACUCUGGGCCUGCUGCAUGGCCUGGAGCUGAUGGGCUGCCGACAUUGGACCAGUAAGGGAGGACGGUUGGGGCAUGUCCCGGAAAGGAGCACCUGGGAGAAGUGUCCCCAAGUGGAGAGACAAGUUCCUCCCCCUCACUUUCUGAUGAAUCAUGGCCUUGUGAUCUGCGACUGAAGCGAUUCCCAGCCAGUUCCUCACCGCCACCUCUUGGCUACAAUGAUACAAUACUUUGAAUUCUUCCGUCAUGCGUUUGAAUACCUUAUGUCUGUGUUAAGACCACUUUCAUACAUGCACCGACGCCUAUACAUCAAAUCAUCACCAUCAGAGAUGUCUAAGUCAUAAAGACACUACGGGACAAUACUGACAUUGUGAGGGUGCUGGUCUGUACUAAUGUGAACAUAUGACAUAAACUUGAAAACAAAGA
Molecule: long non-coding RNA, 2472 nt
Organism: Phyllopteryx taeniolatus (common seadragon)
Lineage: Eukaryota; Metazoa; Chordata; Actinopteri; Syngnathiformes; Syngnathidae
Exons: 8
Source: RefSeq, a predicted model, not a curated record